UAAGACGCGAAAGCUAGGGGAGAGAACGGGAUUAGAAACCCCCGGUAUUCCCUAGCCCGUAAACGAUGUCAACUAGGUGUAGGGGGUAUCCCAACCCCCCCUGUGCCUGUAGCUAACGCGUUAAGUUGACCGCCUGGGGACUACGGCCGCAAGGCUAAAACUCAAAGGAAUUGACGGGGACCCGCACAAGCAGCGGAGCGUGUGGUUUAAUUCGAGGCUACGCGAAGAACCUUACCAGGGUUUGACAUGGCGGUGGUAGGAAUGCGAAAGCUGACCGACCCUUCGGGGAGCCGUCACAGGUGCUGCAUGGCUGUCGUCAGCUCGUGCCGUGAGGUGUUAGGUUAAGUCCUGUAACGAGCGCAACCCUCGUCGCUAGUUAUACGUGUCUAGCGAGACUGCCGGUGAUAAGCCGGAGGAAGGUGAGGAUGACGUCAAGUCAGCAUGGCCUUUAUAUCCCUGGGCUACACACACGCUACAAUGGCCGGUACAAUGGGUUGCCAAGCCGUGAGGCGGAGCCAAU
RNAcentral lists this ribosomal RNA (520 nucleotides) under uncultured bacterium. RNAcentral's name for it is "bacterial SSU rRNA". It matches the Rfam family "Bacterial small subunit ribosomal RNA", at positions 747 to 1272 of the family's 1533-position model. The record is from RNAcentral.